This 484-nucleotide ribosomal RNA is filed under the name uncultured bacterium. RNAcentral's name for it is "partial 16S ribosomal RNA". It matches the Rfam family "Bacterial small subunit ribosomal RNA", at positions 30 to 507 of the family's 1533-position model. The record is from RNAcentral.
AUUGAACGCUGGCGGCAGGCCUAACACAUGCAAGUCGAGCGGAUGAAGGGAGCUUGCUCCUGUAUUCAGCGGCGGACGGGUGAGUAAUGCCUAGGAAUCUGCCUGGUAGUGGGGGAUAACGUCCGGAAACGGGCGCUAAUACCGCAUACGUCCUGAGGGAGAAAGUGGGGGAUCUUCGGACCUCACGCUAUCAGAUGAGCCUAGGUCGGAUUAGCUAGUUGGUGGGGUAAAGGCCUACCAAGGCGACGAUCCGUAACUGGUCUGAGAGGAUGAUCAGUCACACUGGAACUGAGACACGGUCCAGACUCCUACGGGAGGCAGCAGUGGGGAAUAUUGGACAAUGGGCGAAAGCCUGAUCCAGCCAUGCCGCGUGUGUGAAGAAGGUCUUCGGAUUGUAAAGCACUUUAAGUUGGGAGGAAGGGCAGUAAGUGAAUACCUUGCUGUUUUGACGUUACCAACAGAAUAAGCACCGGCUAACUUCGUG